This 497-nucleotide ribosomal RNA is filed under the name uncultured bacterium. RNAcentral describes it as "partial 16S ribosomal RNA". It matches the Rfam family "Bacterial small subunit ribosomal RNA", at positions 30 to 523 of the family's 1533-position model. The record is from RNAcentral.
AUUGAACGCUGGCGGCAGGCCUAACACAUGCAAGUCGAGCGUGAAAGUCCUUCGGGAUGAGUAAAGCGGCGGACGGGUGAGUAACGCGUAGGAAUCUACCUGAUAGUGGGGGAUAACGUCUCGAAAGGGACGCUAAUACCGCAUACGUUCUGAGGAAGAAAGCAGGGGAUCGCAAGACCUUGUGCUAUCAGAUGAGCCUGCGUACGAUUAGCUAGUUGGUGGGGUAAAGGCCUACCAAGGCGACGAUCGGUAACUGGUCUGAGAGGAUGAUCAGUCAAACUGGAACUGAGACACGGUCCAGACUCCUACGGGAGGCAGCAGUGGGGAAUAUUGGACAAUGGGGGCAACCCUGAUCCAGCCAUGCCGCGUGUGUGAAGAAGGCCUUCGGGUUGUAAAGCACUUUAAGCGGGGAGGAAGGCUCCAUGGUUAAUACCCAUGGGGAUUGACGUUACCCGCAGAAUAAGCACCGGCAAACUUCGUGCCAGCCGCCGCCGUAA